CGCUGGUGUCUCAGGGAUGUAAAAUGGAGCAGGAUGCUGGGGGAGUCCUGGCUUUAAACAGUCAAUUUCCAUUGGUGAAAGCUGACAAGCUUAAAACAGCUAAUGUGCCCCACAAGAUGAGGCCUUUGGAGAUUUACAGCUCUCUUCGGCUGAGUGCUCCCAUACGGUGUGUAUGUCAACCAGGGAGCCUUUUAGAGAACCAAGAUAAAGCUUUGCUGAGGCCGCAGCGCCCAGGCAAAUGGAUGGGAGCAAGAGAGAGAAAGCGAGGAGGUUUUUUGUGUUUUUUUUUAAGGCAGGUCGCUGAGCUCACGUCCCUUCCUGCAGACACCGCAGCGGAGUUACUCCAGGUCAAGGACUGCCCUGGACACUGCCUUGGGCUGCAAAGAGGGGCUCUGCCAUGCAGGCCAUGAAUGCUCCAGAUCCCACUCAGCAGAGUCCUCCAAAGGUGCUCUCCUCUUGGCUGGUCCCUGGAGUGGUAUUCCUGAUUCAGGUGUGGAUUUUCCUGGGAUUAUCCAACCCAUCUGCCAGUGAAGCUGAUGGGAGUCUUUUCGCUGACUUCAGUGCCAGUGGGACUAGGCCCUUGGAUAUUCAGCAGUGGGGUGCCAGGGGAGCUCCUCACAUAGGCAUAGUUUACCAUUAGGGAACACUCUCUCCUGGGGUGAAUCGUCAUGGCCCUAUAUAAUGGGGAGUUGAGUAGGGGAACAGCAUCCAUUAGGGAAAAUUACUACUGUGGGUGACACUGGAAACUGGUGAGGGGGGACCAGAGAGGAAGUGAAUUUAAGGCCAAAAGCAGGGGAAAGCUCUGCCAUGUCCUUGGAAAUCCCUUCUCCCAGCUGGACAACUUGGGUUUUGCAGCAGUGAAAGGAAAUGCCCACGAACACUACAUGCCCCUGGAGGCUGGGGGGGCAUGGCGACUGCCUGCAGGCAGCCGCAGCAGUGUUGGCGGUGGGGGAGGAGGCGGGCAGCAAGCGUACAUGUCACCAAUGGAAAUGCCCCAGUGGAACCCAUCCCAAGUUGUAACAUGAGACCAGCACACACACACAGGACCAGGUGAUCAGUCAGGGAGGUGUAAGUGCUUGUUCUGUCUGGCUCCUCCUCCAUCUAUUCCGCCUACCCAGUUUCCACACCAGGAUUUCUGGAGCUCCUGUUGAAACAGGAACUGCCUGUGCCAUCCUAGAGCACAACCUAGCUGAAGGCUCAGCCUGGUCUAUACGGCUGGGCUCCUGCAUUUUAUCAGUAAUGGAAGAUCACAAUCUUGUUUCGUUAUAGCCAAUCAUUUGUAGUGGCAAUAGCUGAGCCUCCCUAUGAUGUAGCCAUUCUGUCUACACUAUAACUACCUGAAUGUGGCUGCUCCUAACAGAGUUGUCUCUAGAGGAGGGUAUAUUCAGGCAUUGGUGCUCUUCACUGUCCCCAGGCUGAUGUAAGGCCUUCAGGGGGUGGUAAAUAACACUGCUGUAAGUUAGAGAAACCCUAAUGCUGCUCUGAGCUGAUGGGCCUAGGAAACAGAGCAAGCAACAGAAAGAUGGCUCUCCCCUGACCAGCCUCCCACCCAGGUCCUGCACCAGCCCAACUCAGGCAGAUUCAAGGACUUGGCUGUUAAACAUAUCAUCUUUCGGCGUGCCUAGUUCUAUAUGCUGCUGCCAUGCCCCUCCUAGGGCUGCCUGCAAUUUCUGACGUUACAAUGGUGAAACAUUACACAGCUGUGCCACAUACAGCUGGGUAAAAAUAGUGCACUUCUAUUUCAGAAAUAGCUCCUACUUGGCAGCUCCUGAGGAGUGAUAGCCUCUCACAAAGGUGAAGGUGAACCAGAUCAAGACAUGGACAACACCCUGGGCCUGAUUGCCCCUGCUUCUGGGCAGGGUGGGUGCAAAAUGCACCAGUGGUUACACAUUGCAUUCAUUUUGCACAGACAUGGCCCUGGGAAAGAAAGGGCAGGAGGGUAGGAACAGCACCUCCCUUGUCCAGUGUAAAGGGCUCGAUUCUGUUCUCCUUCUCCCUUAAAUUAGGAGUAAUGACAUACAAAUCAGUGGAGUCACAUCCAUGUAAAGCGAUGUAAGACCUGAAUCUGGCCCACUGUGGGUGUCUACACAUUCUGUAUAGAAGGGAAAUUAAACUGCAAACCUUUAUAGACUGCUCCUGAUAUAGGGCCCCAUGGUAGGUAGUCAAUGGUUGCUACUGUGUUGUCCCAACUAUGAGAGUGGCACAAGGAGUUUCAGCCCAAAUGCUGUGUAUUGGGCCAGGUACUGACAUUACACUUUUACCAGAGUAAGUGAUUGGAAACCCAUAACAAAACAUCACGCAUAGACUGGUUUAAAAAUGGCGGAACCCGGUCUAAGAUUUGUGUCCCCCCCCCGCCAAAGGUUGAAUGUGUGUUCUGUUUGAUACCAAUCUAAAAUACGCUGCCUACAGAAAACCAUGCAACUUAGAUUGAUUCUGCCUCAGGCUUUUUGAAUGUUUGUACUUACCUGGCAGGGAAAACACCAUGUAUCUGGGUCCAAGAAGGCAGUUUUCCUUAAGCCCUCUCCCAGAUAACUGUUCUUCUGGUGUGGUUUAGUACCUGCCGAGGUGCUGGGGCUUAAAGAUUAUUUUAUGGAAAUGGGAGGCUCCUCCCUAGCUUGCACCUGUGGCCAUUUGGCUGAGGGCAGGCAAAACUUGGGGGCAUCCAAACCUUAAGCCUCCAGGAUUGGGCCUGCAUGUAGGAUGCCUGCCAAAAUAUGUUGGAAACAUCUGAAGCCCCUGCUGCAAAUGGAGGAUGUUUGCUGGUUGUAGAGCCACAUAUGGUUCUGGACUGACUUACGAAUUUGGACUUAAUUUGGCUUGGAAAGUGAAAAAUGUCUUUAUUUAAAAAAAAAAGUUUGAAUGCGUGUACCUAGCUUUGCAAAUGAAGGUUAACCAACUGAGUCUGAUGAGGCCUGAAGAAAAGAAGCCUGGUUAGAGGGACUGGACCAAAUGACCCCUGAGAAUUAGGCUGACUGUGGAAAUCCUGGAAAUCUGGGAUAUCAUCUGGGAAAUCCAGGACACUGCCCUCCCCUCCCUCUGGUGCUGUCACAAGUCAGUGGGGGCAGGGCUACAUGCUGGGCAGGCAUCGGUGCCUGCCUGCCCACCUGCAAGGUGCUCUGAGCUGCUCCGACUCCCAACCAGACUGCGCCCCAUGCCCCUGCGUUUCUGCUGCAUUCAUUAUAAUUCCCAACACCUGGCUGGAUCCAGCCUCUGAAAUCCAGGACUGUCUCAGCUAAACUGGGACAUACGGUUACCCUACUGAAGUCCUUCAUGAUUUUAUGAUGUCGCCCUCCCUGUCAGAAUGUGCUCCAGUUAUUCAAAGUGAAGCUAGAGAGUCAUGCAGCUACUGGACACAUCUACACAUGCAUUAAGUUUAGUACCUGUAAUACGUACUAAAUACUCUGUAAUCUGCGCUACCGUGUAGUUGUGCUGGUGCACAUCUUGUAUGUGAUGCUAAUGUGCAGUAGAUUAAUUCUAGUUUCACCAUGCUUUCACCAUGAUGCGCUAAUGUGCAGUAGAAUUAGUCUACCAUGCUUUUAGUGUCAUAUUGUAGAUGCGUGUGAAAUGGGCCCAUGCCUCUUCUGGCUGAUGGAGUUCACUGAAGGGCACUUUCUAAAAUCAUUAACCCUCCCUCAAAGAAAACAACCCCUGGCCAGGCUGAAAUGGUGGGCUGAUUGUCAAGCUAAAUCCAAUACUCAGUGCCAAUUGGCCCAUCAGUUACUCCUCUCCUCUCCCUUACUCAGUGUCUCACUCCCCAUCCUGGGCUAAAUCAAUGAAAAGGUGAGAAGGUCCUGGUGACCAACCAAGGUCUGCACUUGUCCCUUGCCCAUAUAUCCUACAUGCCUCUGAGUUGGGAGACAAGUCAGCACAAGGGCAAAAAAUCUGCUCUGUUGAUGUUGAUGGGUGAUCUGCUCAUAGCUCUGGGCACAAGGUAAAUGCUUGUGCCCACUGUGCUUUCCACACCAUCAACCCCAGCUGCUAUUGUCAGACUUACAUCCCUGGCAGGAAGAAAUGAGAUGGCUCUUAGAUGGUUUUGAUCAUUUACCUUGAAUAUAUCCUAGAGAAUUGGGAGGGCACCUGCUCCUCCUCCCCAGGGACCACUGGCUGUGGGAUGCUGGGGGAUCUAUCAUAUCUCCUCUCCUUUCACAUGAACACAUGACACCUCUUGGAGAAGCCACGUGGUGAAGCCACGUGGCAUCUUGCGCCCAAAUGCUUCUAAUGCUCUGACAUUGCCCAACAUAUGUCUCCUCCUCAGCAGGUGUGGCUAGCACUGCCAGGCAGGUGGCACAAUGCCUGGAGGGGAUAAGCAUAUGUGCAAAGAGCAGCUGGCUUAAACUAAAUCCAGCCAAAGAGCAGAGAGCCUGCUACCAGAGGGUGCUCUCUGCAACUAAGCUUCUGACUUUACCCACUAGGGAAAUCACUUGCCUACCCAUCAUCAGGACAACAAAUAUUUCAUUGGUCACUCUGGGCUCAGUGGUGCAUCUGCACCACAGAGCUAACAAGAGUAGCAAAAAGUUAUCUCUGGCUGGUCAGAAGCCUCUAUAUUUUUCCAGCAGACAAGGGUCUGGAUUUGGAGAUAUCCUUCAGUCAUCUGUAGACUGGACUUGAGUAACUCACUGUGCCUGUGGCUGAGAAGCUACUGUGGUCUCAGCACAUAACAGUGCGCUUCUAUGUUGUGAACACCUUGCAGUACACUGCCCUGGGUCUCCCUUCAUUCAUGUUUCCAAUUCUAGGUCCUCCUGCUAAUUGUUGAGGUUCUCAACAGCAAUUCUCCAAAACGGGUCUGAACUAGAGCCCAGCAUUGUAAUCCCCAUGGGUUUCAGAAAUGCUCAACUCUGGAUCUGACCUUUAUGGCUCAGGCACCUCCCUGUUAAUUAAACGAUUUAUGUUUCUUAAAUACCAUCCAGUCAGUGGUCACCAUGAGUAACAGCUGAACGCUGGGUCAUUUGUACUUUCUCCCAAGCGGGGAAUGAGCCCCAGAUGCAAAAGCUCUCCUGCUUUUGCCUUAAGAGCAGAAGGAAAUGUUGCAGAGUCUGGAAACGGGAUAGAAAGGCAAGAGGAAAUGCAACUUGAAAGAGACGGGCAGGGGAGACAAAGAAGCAUUGAUCGCACAGUCUAAUCGUCUCUCGACUGCAGGGCUUCCUCCAUCUCUCUCACCUACCAGCUGCAGGCUAUAUCUGAGCUGCAAUAUUACAGGAGCUUCUUUUCCAUCUCCCCUGGAGCUCUGCUGCUUGGCUCAGCCCUGCCUUGUACCAUUAGAAGAUUUUCCUGGCUUCCCCAUUACCCAUCAUGCCCACAAAACAGAUCAGCUUCCCUCCUCCCACCUCCAGUUUACCAGCUUGGCCUUGCACUGAAACCCAGAAUCUCCCUGCUUUUCUUUUCCUGCUUGAAGCACUCUUUAAAGGCAGCCCAUGCUCUACCUGGUGAGCACUAAUGAACUGCAGUGCAGAUCAAUAGACCGAUUGGAAAUGUUGUCAGCUCUGUGGCAGCACCUACCUUAUUAUCUUUAAUCAGGUUUUGAAUUUUCUUUUUGAAAAUGUUUCCUCUGGCACUGGAUAGAGAGGGCAGCAUGGGAGUCAUGACUGGGGUCUGGUACAAUGCUGGGUAUGCUUUGCCUGAUGUUUUUCUGGCUAAGAGUGUAACACAUUGGGCAGUCUCUCAGGGUAUGCCCUAGCAAACGUGGAUGGGCUGGGUAGGUGGAGCAUAGCUGCUGAGGCGUAGAGCUCUCAGAAGCGUGGUUGGGAUGUGUGGGGGUGGAGGUCAGCGAAGCAAGGCUAGAUUCUGUAAUGGUCUCAAUCUGGAGCUUUCAGUAGACUGGAGUGGAGUAUUGAGGGUGGCUGAGACUCCUUUAGAAAUGUGGUUUUGAAAGUCAA
Molecule: long non-coding RNA, 5873 nt
Organism: Alligator mississippiensis (American alligator)
Lineage: Eukaryota; Metazoa; Chordata; Crocodylia; Alligatoridae
Exons: 3
Source: RefSeq, a predicted model, not a curated record